AGUGAACGCUGGCGGUAGGCCUAACACAUGCAAGUCGAACGGCAGCACAGUAAGAGCUUGCUCUUACGGGUGGCGAGUGGCGGACGGGUGAGGAAUACAUCGGAAUCUACUUUUUCGUGGGGGAUAACGUAGGGAAACUUACGCUAAUACCGCAUACGACCUACGGGUGAAAGCAGGGGAUCUUCGGACCUUGCGCGAUUGAAUGAGCCGAUGUCGGAUUAGCUAGUUGGCGGGUAAAGGCCCACCAAGGCGACGAUCCGUAGCUGGUCUGAGAGGAUGAUCAGCCACACUGGAACUGAGACACGGUCCAGACUCCUACGGGAGGCAGCAGUGGGGAAUAUUGGACAAUGGGCGCAAGCCUGAUCCAGCCAUACCGCGUGGGUGAAGAAGGCCUUCGGGUUGUAAAGCCCUUUUGUUGGGAAAGAAAAGCAGCAGGUUAAUACCCCGCUGUUCUGACGGUACCCAAAGAAUAAGCACCGGCCAACUUCGUG
This 491-nucleotide ribosomal RNA is filed under the name uncultured bacterium. Its description in RNAcentral is "partial 16S ribosomal RNA". It matches the Rfam family "Bacterial small subunit ribosomal RNA", at positions 29 to 507 of the family's 1533-position model. The record is from RNAcentral.